GACAGAGGGUGCAAUCGUUGUUCGGAAUUACUGGGCGUAAAGCGCGUGUAGGCGGCCCUGCAAGGCGGAUGUGAAAUCCCACGGCUCAACCGUGGAAGUGCAUUCGAAACUGCAGGGCUAGAGUCCUGGAGAGGAAGGUGGAAUGCUUGGUAUAGAGGUGAAAUUCGUAGAUAUCAAGCGGAACACCGGUGGCGAAGGCGGCCUUCUGGACAGUGACUGACGCUGAGACGCGAAAGCGUGGGGAGCAAACAGG
This 253-nucleotide ribosomal RNA is filed under the name uncultured bacterium. RNAcentral describes it as "partial 16S ribosomal RNA". It matches the Rfam family "Bacterial small subunit ribosomal RNA", at positions 524 to 776 of the family's 1533-position model. The record is from RNAcentral.